This 424-nucleotide ribosomal RNA is filed under the name uncultured bacterium. Its description in RNAcentral is "partial 16S ribosomal RNA". It matches the Rfam family "Bacterial small subunit ribosomal RNA", at positions 354 to 796 of the family's 1533-position model. The record is from RNAcentral.
GUGGGGAAUCUUGCGCAAUGGGCGAAAGCCUGACGCAGCCAUGCCGCGUGAAUGAUGAAGGUCUUAGGAUUGUAAAAUUCUUUCACCGGGGACGAUAAUGACGGUACCCGGAGAAGAAGCCCCGGCUAACUUCGUGCCAGCAGCCGCGGUAAUACGUAGGGGACGAGCGUUGUCCGGAUUUACUGGGCGUAAAGGGCGCGUAGGCGGUCAUUUAAGUCAGCUGUGAAAUGGUUUGGCUUAACCGGAUCACGCGGUUGAAACUGGAUGACUGGGGUGCUGGAGAGGCAAGUGGAAUUCCCAGUGUAGCGGUGAAAUGCGUAGAUAUUGGGAAGAACACCGGUGGCGAAGGCGACUUGCUGGCCAGUAACUGACGCUGAGGCGCGAAAGCCAGGGGAGCAAACGGGAUUAGAUACCCUGGUAGUCC